RNAcentral lists this ribosomal RNA (253 nucleotides) under uncultured bacterium. RNAcentral describes it as "partial 16S ribosomal RNA". It matches the Rfam family "Bacterial small subunit ribosomal RNA", at positions 524 to 776 of the family's 1533-position model. The record is from RNAcentral.
UACAGAGGUCUCAAGCGUUGUUCGGAUUCAUUGGGCGUAAAGGGUGCGUAGGUGGCGAGGCAAGUCAGAUGUGAAAUCCCGGGGCUCAACCCCGGAACUGCAUUUGAAACUGCCUUGCUCGAGUACUGGAGAGGAGACUGGAAUUUACGGCGUAGCAGUGAAAUGCGUAGAUAUCGUAAGGAAGACCAGUGGCGAAGGCGAGUCUCUGGACAGUUACUGACACUGAGGCACGAAGGCCAGGGGAGCAAACGGG